AGGGUUUGAUUCUGGCUCAGGACGAACGCUGGCGGUGCGCCUUAUGCAUGCAAGUCGAGCGAAGCUUUUCAGUAGUUUACUACAGAAAAUGACUGAGCGGCGAACGGGUGAGUAACGCGUGAGCAAUCUACCUUAGUUACAGGGAUAGCCCGAGGAAACUCGGAUUAAUACCUGAUAUUCUUUAUUUCUCGCAUGAGAAUAAAAGGAAAGGUCAGCCGAACUAAGAUGAGCUCGCGUUCUAUCAGCUAGUUGGUGAGGUAAAAGCUUGCCAAGGCUACGACGGAUAGCUGGUCUGAGAGGACGAUCAGCCACACUGGGACUGAGACACGGCCCAGACUCCUACGGGAGGCUGCAGCAGGGAAUAUUGUGCAAUGAACGAAAGUUUGACACAGCGACACCGCGUGUGGGAUGACGGAUCUAGGUUUGUAAACCACUUUCAGGAGGGAAGAAAAUGACGGUACCUCCACAAGAAGCCCCGGCCAACUACGUGCCAGCCGCCGCGGUAAUAC
This 509-nucleotide ribosomal RNA is filed under the name uncultured bacterium. RNAcentral's name for it is "bacterial SSU rRNA". It matches the Rfam family "Bacterial small subunit ribosomal RNA", at positions 8 to 526 of the family's 1533-position model. The record is from RNAcentral.